RNAcentral lists this ribosomal RNA (467 nucleotides) under uncultured bacterium. RNAcentral's name for it is "partial 16S ribosomal RNA". It matches the Rfam family "Bacterial small subunit ribosomal RNA", at positions 28 to 506 of the family's 1533-position model. The record is from RNAcentral.
GACGAACGCUGGCGGCGUGCUUAACACAUGCAAGUCGAACGGAAAGGCCCUGCUUUUGUGGGGUGCUCGAGUGGCGAACGGGUGAGUAACACGUGAGUAACCUGCCCUUGACUUUGGGAUAACUUCAGGAAACUGGGGCUAAUACCGGAUAGGAGCUCCUGCUGCAUGGUGGGGGUUGGAAAGUUUCGGCGGUUGGGGAUGGACUCGCGGCUUAUCAGCUUGUUGGUGGGGUAGUGGCUUACCAAGGCUUUGACGGGUAGCCGGCCUGAGAGGGUGACCGGCCACAUUGGGACUGAGAUACAGCCCAGACUCCUACGGGAGGCAGCAGUGGGGAAUAUUGCACAAUGGGCGGAAGCCUGAUGCAGCAACGCCGCGUGCGGGAUGACGGCCUUCGGGUUGUAAACCGCUUUCGCCUGUGACGAAGCGUGAGUGACGGUAAUGGGUAAAGAAGCACCGGCUAACUACGU